ACCCAUAUUGAUAGCAGACAGCAAACAGUGUAUUUGAAGUUCUCAAUCUACAGUAGCAGUCUCCUUGGCAUAUCUUGUUCAAUGGCUAUGGUCUC
This is a long non-coding RNA of Telopea speciosissima, 95 nucleotides long. RefSeq lists it as uncharacterized. Lineage: Eukaryota; Viridiplantae; Streptophyta; Magnoliopsida; Proteales; Proteaceae. The record is from RefSeq and is a predicted model, not a curated record. The transcript has 3 exons.